GUUUUAUCUUCCAUAGUGUUUAAUUUCUAUAUGAAACUGCUGUGAGAAGUUGUCCAACAGUGAAGAUAAUGAUGAUGAUGAUGGUGAUGAUGAUGAUUGUGAUGACGAUGAUGAGAUCACUCAGAGAAUUGUGUUGGGAUCUUACGGCACACAAAUGGUACCUAUAAUACCUGCCUGAACAGUGCAGUGUAAAACCGUGAAGACCAAUAAGCUUAAGCCCAGGUCCAGCAAGGCAUAUAUAAAGGGGGCGCAUGCCUGGCCUCAGGCUCAAACAAGGAUCCCUGCCUCUGGACUGUGGACACAAGCACUAAAGGCUCAAUGAAUUGAGGGGGUCAAGACAGAGCAACCACCAUAACACCCUCAUCUUCUGGGGUGGUUCAGUUGGAGAAGACUUUAGGUCCUUGUUUCAACCUUCUUCUUCUACCUUCAUCAGAAGAGAGUAAAAAGAAACCAAGAAACAGAGAUGAGAAAGUGAACACACAUCUUCGGAUUUCAAUAACAUGCAAAACUAAGUUAACGUAAGGAAACCAUUAAUGUUGGGACAAGAGAAAUAAAAUGCCUGUGUGGUCAGUUUGCGUCAUACAUUGGAACUGAAUUGAUCUUACUAAAUGUGUGGUAUAAAUACAACCAACACUCCCUGUUCUGGCCUUCAUCACUAGAGAUGGUACGACAUUGCCAGGAUUUAGCAACUUUG
Molecule: long non-coding RNA, 694 nt
Organism: Crotalus tigris (Tiger rattlesnake)
Lineage: Eukaryota; Metazoa; Chordata; Lepidosauria; Squamata; Viperidae
Exons: 3
Source: RefSeq, a predicted model, not a curated record